This 468-nucleotide ribosomal RNA is filed under the name uncultured bacterium. RNAcentral describes it as "partial 16S ribosomal RNA". It matches the Rfam family "Bacterial small subunit ribosomal RNA", at positions 28 to 507 of the family's 1533-position model. The record is from RNAcentral.
GACGAACGCUGGCGGCGUGCCUAACACAUGCAAGUCGAACGGAAAGGCCCUGCUUGUGCCGGGUGCUCGCGUGGCGCGGGGGUGAGUAACACGUGAGUAACCCGCCCUUGACGUUGGGAUAACCUCAGGCAACUGCGGCUACUACCGGAUAGGAGCUCCUGCUGCAUGGGGGGGGUUGGACAGUUUCGGCGGAUGGGGAUGGACUCGCGGCUUACCAGCUUGUUGGUGGAGUAGCGGCAUACCCAGGCAUAGACGGAUAGCCGGCCUGGGAGGGUAACCGGCCACAAUGCGACUGAGAGACGGCCCAGACUCCAACAGGGGGCAACAGGGGAGAACAUGGCACAAUGAGCGGAAGUCUGAUGCAGCAACCCCGCGAGCGGGAAGACCGUCUUCGUGUGGUGAACCGCUUUCGCCUGUGACGAAGCGUGGUUGACGGUAAUGGGUAAAGAAGCACCGGCUAACUACGUG